RNAcentral lists this ribosomal RNA (585 nucleotides) under Streptomyces sp. 428E01. Its description in RNAcentral is "bacterial SSU rRNA". It matches the Rfam family "Bacterial small subunit ribosomal RNA", at positions 93 to 694 of the family's 1533-position model. Lineage: Bacteria; Bacillati; Actinomycetota; Actinomycetes; Kitasatosporales; Streptomycetaceae. The record is from RNAcentral.
UAGUGGCGAACGGGUGAGUAACACGUGGGCAAUCUGCCCUGCACUCUGGGACAAGCCCUGGAAACGGGGUCUAAUACCGGAUACGAGCCUCCCGGGCAUCUGGGAGGUUGGAAAGCUCCGGCGGUGCAGGAUGAGCCCGCGGCCUAUCAGCUUGUUGGUGAGGUAACGGCUCACCAAGGCGACGACGGGUAGCCGGCCUGAGAGGGCGACCGGCCACACUGGGACUGAGACACGGCCCAGACUCCUACGGGAGGCAGCAGUGGGGAAUAUUGCACAAUGGGCGCAAGCCUGAUGCAGCGACGCCGCGUGAGGGAUGACGGCCUUCGGGUUGUAAACCUCUUUCAGCAGGGAAGAAGCGAGAGUGACGGUACCUGCAGAAGAAGCGCCGGCUAACUACGUGCCAGCAGCCGCGGUAAUACGUAGGGCGCAAGCGUUGUCCGGAAUUAUUGGGCGUAAAGAGCUCGUAGGCGGCUUGUCGCGUCGAUUGUGAAAGCCCGGGGCUUAACUCCGGGUCUGCAGUCGAUACGGGCAGGCUAGAGUGUGGUAGGGGAGAUCGGAUUCCUGGUGACGNAAAAANNNCGCCAA